This 2904-nucleotide ribosomal RNA is filed under the name Escherichia coli. RNAcentral's name for it is "23S ribosomal RNA". It matches the Rfam family "Bacterial large subunit ribosomal RNA". Lineage: Bacteria; Pseudomonadati; Pseudomonadota; Gammaproteobacteria; Enterobacterales; Enterobacteriaceae. The record is from RNAcentral.
GGUUAAGCGACUAAGCGUACACGGUGGAUGCCCUGGCAGUCAGAGGCGAUGAAGGACGUGCUAAUCUGCGAUAAGCGUCGGUAAGGUGAUAUGAACCGUUAUAACCGGCGAUUUCCGAAUGGGGAAACCCAGUGUGUUUCGACACACUAUCAUUAACUGAAUCCAUAGGUUAAUGAGGCGAACCGGGGGAACUGAAACAUCUAAGUACCCCGAGGAAAAGAAAUCAACCGAGAUUCCCCCAGUAGCGGCGAGCGAACGGGGAGCAGCCCAGAGCCUGAAUCAGUGUGUGUGUUAGUGGAAGCGUCUGGAAAGGCGCGCGAUACAGGGUGACAGCCCCGUACACAAAAAUGCACAUGCUGUGAGCUCGAUGAGUAGGGCGGGACACGUGGUAUCCUGUCUGAAUAUGGGGGGACCAUCCUCCAAGGCUAAAUACUCCUGACUGACCGAUAGUGAACCAGUACCGUGAGGGAAAGGCGAAAAGAACCCCGGCGAGGGGAGUGAAAAAGAACCUGAAACCGUGUACGUACAAGCAGUGGGAGCACGCUUAGGCGUGUGACUGCGUACCUUUUGUAUAAUGGGUCAGCGACUUAUAUUCUGUAGCAAGGUUAACCGAAUAGGGGAGCCGAAGGGAAACCGAGUCUUAACUGGGCGUUAAGUUGCAGGGUAUAGACCCGAAACCCGGUGAUCUAGCCAUGGGCAGGUUGAAGGUUGGGUAACACUAACUGGAGGACCGAACCGACUAAUGUUGAAAAAUUAGCGGAUGACUUGUGGCUGGGGGUGAAAGGCCAAUCAAACCGGGAGAUAGCUGGUUCUCCCCGAAAGCUAUUUAGGUAGCGCCUCGUGAAUUCAUCUCCGGGGGUAGAGCACUGUUUCGGCAAGGGGGUCAUCCCGACUUACCAACCCGAUGCAAACUGCGAAUACCGGAGAAUGUUAUCACGGGAGACACACGGCGGGUGCUAACGUCCGUCGUGAAGAGGGAAACAACCCAGACCGCCAGCUAAGGUCCCAAAGUCAUGGUUAAGUGGGAAACGAUGUGGGAAGGCCCAGACAGCCAGGAUGUUGGCUUAGAAGCAGCCAUCAUUUAAAGAAAGCGUAAUAGCUCACUGGUCGAGUCGGCCUGCGCGGAAGAUGUAACGGGGCUAAACCAUGCACCGAAGCUGCGGCAGCGACGCUGAUGCGUUGUUGGGUAGGGGAGCGUUCUGUAAGCCUGCGAAGGUGUGCUGUGAGGCAUGCUGGAAGUAUCAGAAGUGCGAAUGCUGACAUAAGUAACGAUAAAGCGGGUGAAAAGCCCGCUCGCCGGAAGACCAAGGGUUCCUGUCCAACGUUAAUCGGGGCAGGGUGAGUCGACCCCUAAGGCGAGGCCGAAAGGCGUAGUCGAUGGGAAACAGGUUAAUAUUCCUGUACUUGGUGUUACUGCGAAGGGGGGACGGAGAAGGCUAUGUUGGCCGGGCGACGGUUGUCCCGGUUUAAGCGUGUAGGCUGGUUUUCCAGGCAAAUCCGGAAAAUCAAGGCUGAGGCGUGAUGACGAGGCACUACGGUGCUGAAGCAACAAAUGCCCUGCUUCCAGGAAAAGCCUCUAAGCAUCAGGUAACAUCAAAUCGUACCCCAAACCGACACAGGUGGUCAGGUAGAGAAUACCAAGGCGCUUGAGAGAACUCGGGUGAAGGAACUAGGCAAAAUGGUGCCGUAACUUCGGGAGAAGGCACGCUGAUAUGUAGGUGAGGUCCCUCGCGGAUGGAGCUGAAAUCAGUCGAAGAUACCAGCUGGCUGCAACUGUUUAUUAAAAACACAGCACUGUGCAAACACGAAAGUGGACGUAUACGGUGUGACGCCUGCCCGGUGCCGGAAGGUUAAUUGAUGGGGUUAGCGCAAGCGAAGCUCUUGAUCGAAGCCCCGGUAAACGGCGGCCGUAACUAUAACGGUCCUAAGGUAGCGAAAUUCCUUGUCGGGUAAGUUCCGACCUGCACGAAUGGCGUAAUGAUGGCCAGGCUGUCUCCACCCGAGACUCAGUGAAAUUGAACUCGCUGUGAAGAUGCAGUGUACCCGCGGCAAGACGGAAAGACCCCGUGAACCUUUACUAUAGCUUGACACUGAACAUUGAGCCUUGAUGUGUAGGAUAGGUGGGAGGCUUAGAAGUGUGGACGCCAGUCUGCAUGGAGCCGACCUUGAAAUACCACCCUUUAAUGUUUGAUGUUCUAACGUUGACCCGUAAUCCGGGUUGCGGACAGUGUCUGGUGGGUAGUUUGACUGGGGCGGUCUCCUCCUAAAGAGUAACGGAGGAGCACGAAGGUUGGCUAAUCCUGGUCGGACAUCAGGAGGUUAGUGCAAUGGCAUAAGCCAGCUUGACUGCGAGCGUGACGGCGCGAGCAGGUGCGAAAGCAGGUCAUAGUGAUCCGGUGGUUCUGAAUGGAAGGGCCAUCGCUCAACGGAUAAAAGGUACUCCGGGGAUAACAGGCUGAUACCGCCCAAGAGUUCAUAUCGACGGCGGUGUUUGGCACCUCGAUGUCGGCUCAUCACAUCCUGGGGCUGAAGUAGGUCCCAAGGGUAUGGCUGUUCGCCAUUUAAAGUGGUACGCGAGCUGGGUUUAGAACGUCGUGAGACAGUUCGGUCCCUAUCUGCCGUGGGCGCUGGAGAACUGAGGGGGGCUGCUCCUAGUACGAGAGGACCGGAGUGGACGCAUCACUGGUGUUCGGGUUGUCAUGCCAAUGGCACUGCCCGGUAGCUAAAUGCGGAAGAGAUAAGUGCUGAAAGCAUCUAAGCACGAAACUUGCCCCGAGAUGAGUUCUCCCUGACCCUUUAAGGGUCCUGAAGGAACGUUGAAGACGACGACGUUGAUAGGCCGGGUGUGUAAGCGCAGCGAUGCGUUGAGCUAACCGGUACUAAUGAACCGUGAGGCUUAACCUU